CACCACCGACCACACGAUGGUUCCCCGGAGCACCCGGGGAGGACAACAGGGAACGCGGUGAAACCCCGCGGCUGCCCCCGCAACUGUAAGCGGUGAGCGCCCUCGCAACGUGCCACUGGCCAGACCGGCCGGGAAGGCGCGGGGGUGCCGCGACCCGCGAGCCAGGAGACCUGCCAUCCCAGGUGCAACUUU
RNAcentral lists this non-coding RNA (192 nucleotides) under Antarctobacter albus. The record is from RNAcentral. Lineage: Bacteria; Pseudomonadati; Pseudomonadota; Alphaproteobacteria; Rhodobacterales; Roseobacteraceae. RNAcentral also lists the same sequence under 1 other name.